This 922-nucleotide ribosomal RNA is filed under the name Klebsiella pneumoniae. RNAcentral describes it as "bacterial SSU rRNA". It matches the Rfam family "Bacterial small subunit ribosomal RNA", at positions 35 to 948 of the family's 1533-position model. Lineage: Bacteria; Pseudomonadati; Pseudomonadota; Gammaproteobacteria; Enterobacterales; Enterobacteriaceae. The record is from RNAcentral.
GCUGGCGGCAGGCCUAACACAUGCAAGUCGAGCGGUAGCACAGAGAGCUUGCUCUCGGGUGACGAGCGGCGGACGGGUGAGUAAUGUCUGGGAAACUGCCUGAUGGAGGGGGAUAACUACUGGAAACGGUAGCUAAUACCGCAUAACGUCGCAAGACCAAAGUGGGGGACCUUCGGGCCUCAUGCCAUCAGAUGUGCCCAGAUGGGAUUAGCUAGUAGGUGGGGUAACGGCUCACCUAGGCGACGAUCCCUAGCUGGUCUGAGAGGAUGACCAGCCACACUGGAACUGAGACACGGUCCAGACUCCUACGGGAGGCAGCAGUGGGGAAUAUUGCACAAUGGGCGCAAGCCUGAUGCAGCCAUGCCGCGUGUGUGAAGAAGGCCUUCGGGUUGUAAAGCACUUUCAGCGGGGAGGAAGGCGGUGAGGUUAAUAACCUUGUCGAUUGACGUUACCCGCAGAAGAAGCACCGGCUAACUCCGUGCCAGCAGCCGCGGUAAUACGGAGGGUGCAAGCGUUAAUCGGAAUUACUGGGCGUAAAGCGCACGCAGGCGGUCUGUCAAGUCGGAUGUGAAAUCCCCGGGCUCAACCUGGGAACUGCAUUCGAAACUGGCAGGCUAGAGUCUUGUAGAGGGGGGUAGAAUUCCAGGUGUAGCGGUGAAAUGCGUAGAGAUCUGGAGGAAUACCGGUGGCGAAGGCGGCCCCCUGGACAAAGACUGACGCUCAGGUGCGAAAGCGUGGGGAGCAAACAGGAUUAGAUACCCUGGUAGUCCACGCCGUAAACGAUGUCGAUUUGGAGGUUGUGCCCUUGAGGCGUGGCUUCCGGAGCUAACGCGUUAAAUCGACCGCCUGGGGAGUACGGCCGCAAGGUUAAAACUCAAAUGAAUUGACGGGGGCCCGCACAAGCGGUGGACGAUGUGGUUUA